This 501-nucleotide ribosomal RNA is filed under the name uncultured bacterium. RNAcentral's name for it is "partial 16S ribosomal RNA". It matches the Rfam family "Bacterial small subunit ribosomal RNA", at positions 29 to 523 of the family's 1533-position model. The record is from RNAcentral.
AUUGAACGCUAGCGGCAUGCCUUACACAUGCAAGUCGAACGGCAGCGGGGGAGCUUGCUCCCGCCGGCGCGUGGCGAACGGGUGAGUAAUACAUCGGAACGUACCCAGUAGCGGGGGAUCGCCCGGCGAAAGCCGGAUUAAUACCGCAUACGCCCUACGGGGGAAAGGGGGGAUCGCAAGACCUCUCACUAUUGGAGCGGCGGAGGGCUGAUUAGCUAGUUGGUGGGGUAAAGGCCUACCAAGGCGACGAUCAGUAGCUGGUCUGAGAGGACGACCAGCCACACUGGGACUGGGACACGGCCCAGACUCCUACGGGAGGCAGCAGUGGGGAAUUUUGGACAAUGGGCGAAAGCCUGAUCCAGCAAUGCCGCGUGUGCGAAGAAGGCCUUCGGGUUGUAAAGCACUUUUGUCAGGGAAGAAAUCGUUUGGGUUAAUACCCCGAGCAGUUGACGGUACCUGAAGAAUAAGCACCGGCUAACUACGUGCCAGCCGCCGCCGUAA